This 468-nucleotide ribosomal RNA is filed under the name uncultured bacterium. RNAcentral describes it as "partial 16S ribosomal RNA". It matches the Rfam family "Bacterial small subunit ribosomal RNA", at positions 28 to 507 of the family's 1533-position model. The record is from RNAcentral.
GACGAACGCUGGCGGCGUGCUUAACACAUGCAAGUCGAACGGAAAGGCCCUGCUUUUGUGGGGUGCUCGAGUGGCGAACGGGUGAGUAACACGUGAGUAACCUGCCCUUGACUUUGGGAUAACUUCAGGAAACUGGGGCUAAUACCGGAUAGGAGCUCCUGCUGCAUGGUGGGGGUUGGAAAGUUUCGGCGGUUGGGGAUGGACUCGCGGCUUAUCAGCUUGUUGGUGGGGUAGUGGCUUACCAAGGCUUUGACGGGUAGCCGGCCUGAGAGGGUGACCGGACACAUUGGGACUGAGAUAAGGCCCAGACUCCUACGGGAGGCAGCAGUGGGGAAUAGUGCACAAUGGGCGGAAGCCUGAUGCAGCAACGCCGCGUGCGGGAGGACGGCCUUCGGGUUGUAAACCGCUUUCGCCUGUGACGAAGCGUGAGUGACGGUAAUGGGUAAAGAAGCACCGGCUAACUACGUG